NNNNNNNNNNNNNNNNNNNNNNNNNNNNNNNNNNNNNNNNNNNUCCCAGUAUAUCCCAGUCCCCUCCCAAUUCCCUCCCAGUCCCUCCCAGUAGCUCCCAGUGGUCCCAGUCCAUCCCAGUCCAUCCCAGUCCAUCCCAGUCCAUCCCAGUCCCUCCCAGUCCCUCCCAGUAACCUCCCCCAGUCCCUCCCAGUGCUCCCAGUACAAAGCCCCUUUGUCCCAGUCCCUCCCAGUAACAAAGCUCCUCUAUCCCAGUCCCUCCCAGUCCCUCCCAGUACAGAGCCCCUCUGUCCCAGUCCCUCCCAGUAACAAAGCCCCCUUGUCCCAGUGUCCCCCCAGUGCUCCCCAGUUCCUCCCAGUCCAUCCCAGUAACAAAGCUCCUCUGUCCCAGUCCCUCCCACUACAAAGCGCCCUUGUCCCAGUGACCCCCAGUCCCUCUCAGUUACAGCUCCAGUCCCUCCCAGUCCCUCCCAGUAUAACCCAGUCCCUCCCAGUAUAUCCCAGUCCCUCCCAGUAUAUCCCAGUCCAUCCCAGUAUAUCCCAGUACAAAGCCGCUCCAUCCCAGUCCCUCCCAGUAUAUCCCAGUCCAUCCCAGUAUAGCCCAGUCCCUCCCAGUGCUCCCAGUAACAGCUCCAGUCCCUCCCAGUGCUCCCAGUUACAGCUCCCAUUCCCUCCCAGUCCCUCCCAGUACAUCCCAGUCCAUCCCAGUACAAAGCCCCUCUAUCCCAGUCCCCUCCCAUUCCGUCCCAGUAUAACCCAGUCCCCUCCCAGUCCCUCCCAGUAUAUCCCAGUACAAAGCCGCUCCAUCCCAGUCCCUCCCAGUAUAUCCCAGUCCCUCCCAGUUUAACCCAGUUCCCUCCCAGUAUAACCCAGUCCCUCCCAGUCGCUCCCAGUCCCUCCCAGUCCCUCCCAGUAUAUCCCAGUCCCUCCCAGUCGCUCCCAGUUUAUCCCAGUCCCUCCCAGUCCAUCCCAGUCCCUUCCAGUAUAUCCCAGUCCCUCCCAGUCCCUCCCAGUUUAUCCCAGUCCGAAGCCGCUCUAUCCCAGUCC
Molecule: long non-coding RNA, 1047 nt
Filed under: Zonotrichia albicollis (white-throated sparrow)
Lineage: Eukaryota; Metazoa; Chordata; Aves; Passeriformes; Passerellidae
Description: lncRNA (ENSZALG00000003191.1)
Source: RNAcentral